RNAcentral lists this ribosomal RNA (253 nucleotides) under uncultured bacterium. Its description in RNAcentral is "partial 16S ribosomal RNA". It matches the Rfam family "Bacterial small subunit ribosomal RNA", at positions 524 to 776 of the family's 1533-position model. The record is from RNAcentral.
UACGAGGGGGGCAAAUGUUGUUCGGAAUCACUGGGCGUAAAGGGUGCGUAGGCGGGGCUUUAAGUCAGGGGUGAAAUCCUGGAGCUCAACUCCAGAACUGCCUUUGAUACUGAAGAUCUUGAGUUCGGGAGAGGUGAGUGGAACUGCGAGUGUAGAGGUGAAAUUCGUAGAUAUUCGCAAGAACACCAGUGGCGAAGGCGGCUCACUGGCCCGAUACUGACGCUGAGGCACGAAAGCGUGGGGAGCAAACAGG